This 468-nucleotide ribosomal RNA is filed under the name uncultured bacterium. RNAcentral's name for it is "partial 16S ribosomal RNA". It matches the Rfam family "Bacterial small subunit ribosomal RNA", at positions 28 to 507 of the family's 1533-position model. The record is from RNAcentral.
GACGAACGCUGGCGGCGUGCUUAAUACAUGCAAGUCGAACGGAAAGGCCCUGCUUUUGUGGGGUGCUCGAGUGGCGAACGGGUGAGUAACACGUGAGUAACCUGCCCUUGACUUUGGGAUAACUUCAGGAAACUGGGGCUAAUACCGGAUAGGAGCUCCUGCUGCAUGGUGGGGGUUGGAAAGUUUCGGCGGUUGGGGAUGGACUCGCGGCUUAUCAGCUUGUUGGUGGGGUAGUGGCUUACCAAGGCUUUGACGGGUAGCCGGCCCGAGAGGGUGACCGGCCACAUUGGGACUGAGAUACGGCCCAGACUCCUACGGGAGGCAGCAGUGGGGAAUAUUGCACAAUGGGCGGAAGCCUGAUGCAGCAACGCCGCGUGCGGGAUGACGGCCUUCGGGUUGUAAACCGCUUUCGCCUGUGACGAAGCGUGAGUGACGGUAAUGGGUAAAGAAGCACCGGCUAACUACGUG